Molecule: ribosomal RNA, 490 nt
Filed under: uncultured bacterium
Lineage: Bacteria
Description: partial 16S ribosomal RNA
Rfam family: Bacterial small subunit ribosomal RNA
Source: RNAcentral
AUUGAACGCUGGCGGCAGGCCUAACACAUGCAAGUCGAACGGUAACAGGAAGAAGCUUGCUUCUUUGCUGAUGAGUGGCGGACGGGUGAGUAAUGUCUGGGAAACUGCCUGAUGGAGGGGGAUAACUACUGGAAACGGUAGCUAAUACCGCAUAACGUCGCAAGACCAAAAAGGGGGACCUUCGGGCCUCUUGCCAUCGGAUGUGCCCAGAUGGGAUUAGCUAGUAGGUGGGGUAACGGCUCACCUAGGCGACGAUCCCUAGCUGGUCUGAGAGGAUGACCAGCCACACUGGAACUGAGACACGGUCCAGACUCCUACGGGAGGCAGCAGUGGGGAAUAUUGCACAUAGGGCGCAAGCCUGAUGCAGCCAUGCCGCGUGUAUGAAGAAGGCCUUCGGGUUGUAAAGUACUUUCAGCGGGGAGGAAGGGAGUAAAGUUAAUACCUUUGCUCAUUGACGUUACCCGCAGAAGAAGCACCGGCUAACUCCGUG